AGGAGGAUUGAGAAGGUAAGACAGUUAUUUCGUACUGGUUCUUACUGGUUAUGGCCUCCAAGAUUAAAAUGGUGCAAAUCAGCCCAUGUUCUCUCUCCUGAUUUGAGGGGAAACAAUACUGCAUUUGCACAUAUAGU
Molecule: small nucleolar RNA, 137 nt
Organism: Alligator mississippiensis (American alligator)
Lineage: Eukaryota; Metazoa; Chordata; Crocodylia; Alligatoridae
Rfam family: Small nucleolar RNA SNORA47
Source: Rfam